GCCGGCGGCCGUUUUCUCCUCCCCGCCGCCAGCGCGUCCGUCCGCCGCCUCAGGAAGGGGCGCGGCGGGGGGGAGCCACGGUGGGGCUGCUGCGUGUCGGCCGCUGGCUCCUCUGGGCACGGUGCGGCCGGCUGCCUGCCUGCCUGUCUGCCUGCCUGCGUGGGGUUUUUUCUAGUGUGUGUGGGCGCGGGUCAGUUUUUUCGAACUCAUAAUUACAGAAGGCAUGCUGACAGUGGUGCCCGAGUGAGCUGGCCUCUUUGCUGGAGUAGAUGUACCCACAGUCAUGUGUCCCAGCCAGGCAUGGACCCCAGAGCACGGAGCUGUGAAGGCACUGGAGGUAGAUCCCAGGGAGCCAGAGGGUCGGGAUGUAGCCGAGCCUGAGAUGACCGUGGUGUGGGCAUCAACAGUAGCAGCUCCCAAGAGGAAAAAGUGAUCUCAUCAACAGGCAAAGGCACAUCAAGCCACUUUGCAAGACGACGCUCCAUGGAGCACGUUAAGGAGCUCUGCAGAACUCGAGGGUGGUACACACAGAGCGAGGCGCACUUCUGAACUGCUCUUGACUGCCCUGAGAUGUCCCACUGAAGCUGACAUUUAUGUUAAAUGACUUCAUGCUGAUCGCUCCUUUAAGGAAGAGAGGGUAACAAGAACUGAAGCAACUCCAACACCUGGGACUAGUUUAAGUAUGAAGAGGACUAUGUGUUCCAAGCAUUCAAAAUCCAUGAAACACAUCCUCAGAAAUGAUCCUUUAGAUCAAUACAGCCUUUCCCCUUUGGAAACAGCUGCACCCAUGUGGAACAUCUUCACCUUGGCACGAACUACCUGUCCUCCAGGGGAGUUCAGUGCUUCAUCCACGUGCAUCAAUUCUUACAACUGCCACGUGUGGAUGAAUCGCAGUGUCUCUCCAUCUUCUGGCUGCGUCAGUUCCUUGUGGGUCCAGACUCCAAGAUGCAAAGAACAAAGCAUAUUUCAGGCUGUCAGAGCUCUUUCAAAUGAUGGAGUAAGAAGAGAUGCAGCUCUUAGAGGAGCGUGCCUCCCAGAGAUUGCUCCUGGGUUUAUUCAUCUUCCCCCGAGCUUUGGAUGGAGGACAGGUUUCUUUUGUUCACAGUCUUUUGUGCUUCUGACUGCUGCAUGCUCCAGAGCAUUGUGUGGCUGGAAAGUUGAAAGUGAAUCAUAGAAGAGUUCAUACGCAGGAGAGAGGAGGAGAUAUCUUCUCACUGGCUACGGUGACUGAAAUGGGCCAGCGCCACAGGGAAGGUUUUUAGCGAUCCUUGGCUCCCAGGAGAGAAUAAGACUCUUCCAGUGGUGUUUGUGAGGCUUAAAAAGGACCAGUGUUUGGGAGAGAGGGAGCAGAGGUAGAAGACAUUGAGCCAAUGAAGCAGAGUGAAACUAAGAUCCAGAAAAAGAAUGAGAAUGAUUUUUUCUGGAGAUCACAGUGGUUUGUGAAGGGGCCGAUAAGAUGUCUGGUGAAGAGUAUGUCUGUAGAGAGAAUCCACUUCUCUGUAUCCAAGCUGGUGCAAUAAAUAAUCUUUCGUGAUUCUGACAGAUGCUUACAGAGUAGCAGAAACGAAAGCUCACACUCUGGCUGUGAUUAAUACAUCAUUAGUUGUCAGACUAAGGAUUUUGGAAGUGGGUAAAUAAGCCCUAGGCCAGUUGAUUGUGUCUAAGAAAACUGCGGAGGAUUACAGGGUUGGGGGGAGCUGGGACUCAGCAUUUGUUUACCACAGGCAGUUACUAUGUUUUGUUCCUUGUCUGAAACCACUCUGUUCCCACAGCGGGAGAAGAGGAGGAGAAAUGGGCAUAUGAUUUCAGAAACAAAGCUCUGCCUCAAGCCUCUGCUAUUCUGAAAAAAUGACAAAAGACCCAGCUGACCACAGUCCAUGUUGCCCUGGCUUCCUUGUGGGAUACGUAGGAAGCUGGGCCCUGACUGCAGUCUGCUGCCCUUGUCCGGGACAUGAUGCAAAAUGUCUGCUGUGGAGAAAAACAGCUCUUGCUGUUUAGAUUCACAGAGUGACACAAAGCAAACCAGGCUCUGCAAGUCCGGCUUCUUUCGGGAACUGCUCAGUACCCGCAAGGGCCUCUGGUCUGCGCUGUGGAAGAGGCUGCUCAGAACCUCCCAGGGCCGCGCUCUGUGCCAUGGAAAUACGGAGCCAUGGUCGUCAGCUGAUGUAAAUUGGUGUAGCUCCAUUGAUGUCUAUCCAGUAUACACAAGCUGAAAAUACGGCUUAGAGUAAAUGAAUCAUGCUGCUGAAAUGCAGCCAGCUUUAAAACAUACCUGUCCCGUGGGGGUGCUGUGAAGUGAAAGUCGCUUCCACCCUUUUUGGCUGAUAAUUCACAAAUGAGCCACUAAUCUGGCAUGGCAUAAAGGCUGCAGUGUAAUGUAUGAGUCACUUUACCCACUCGAAAAUGUCACCAGUUGUGGAGAGAGACGCGGCAGCUGCUUAGUGGCGCGUAACCCAUGUGGUAGAGAUGGUCCUAUUAUUUAUAUAGCUCCAUAAAUGAACCUGGUGCUUUGCAAAAUAGCAGCUCUUCCUUGAGCAGUUUACAACGCCGUUUACUCCUAAGCGAGACAAGGGCAGCUGCUGGCUCGACCGCCACGAGCCCAUUGACGUUGCGAGGAAAGCUCCCAGCUGCUCCAAGGGCCGCAGGAGCGAGCCCUGUGAGGAGGAAAGCACGGUGUCACCGAGGCCACUGAUACCUGGCAGAGGAUGGGGAAGGAGAUGGGAGGGAGGAGGAAAAGAAAACUUGCCUCAUCUUGCAGCAGAAGACCUGAGGCACAGAGAUUAAGGGCUAGGCCUGAAACAGAUUUAGGCCAUGCCUACACGAAGAGAAGUACCCUGAGACAGGUUCCCUCAUGGGAGCCGGAGUCCACAUGGCUGAAUAGCUCUCCCAGGAAGGAUCUGCUUUGCCACAGGAGGAUGCUGCCCAGGACACUAAGAUUUCUGUUAGCUAGAGCUAAGAGAAGGGCGGCCUGCCCCAAGAAGCGCCCUCUCGCCGCACGCUGAAGCUGCGACCUGUCUGCCUGCACUGUGCUACCACUUCCACUGGGGCUACGCCAUGGGGCUGGGCAGCUGUGAACUGCGGCACGCAUGCUGAGUGGCUCUGCUCGUAGAGGAGACCCAGCGAAGGAGGUUAGAAGCAGAGGUAUCUUCUUGCUGUCCCUCGAGACCCUUUUACUAAGGUUUUGCUAUUUUGCUGCUACCCUGUAGCAGCAGAGAACUAGGUUUUUCUCCCCCCUCAUCUCCCAGAUUCCCGCAGGAUGCAUGUGAUUCCCCACCCAUUUCAUGCCUCCUGCUGCACACCCCAAUCGAAGCCCCGCUCCGGAGGCAGGGUGCCGGCGUCUGCAUGCUCUCGCUGCCACCCGUGUCCCUGAGCCAGCCGGGGAGCUGCCUCGCGCAGAGACGCGACUCCACCUUCCUCGCUCCCGAGCGCUCUCCGCUGCUGGCUCGGUUUCUCUCCCUGCUGCUUGUAGAAAGGACUCAUCACAGAUCUAACCUGAAUAAUCACUCCCAAGACGUCCUUUCCCAGUUUCUUUUUCAGUGACCCAGGUCACAACUCAUUUCUUAGCAUCUGGGCUUCAUUUCUGUGUAAGCUGGGAACCGAUAAAGGAAGGGAAAAGGUGAAGAUUCAGAGAGGCAGGCCAGCAUCAUGAGCAGAGCGUACACAGGGCACAUUCAACGUUGGACUAGCUGGCCUCAAGUGUAUGGGCAGUGGCAAAGCGAUUGCAUUAAAUGAAACAGAGGCUAUUUAUCCUAAAACGUUAAAAGGCACAAGACAGACAGACAGGAGCCGUUUCAUCCUCCCGGGAUUCCUUGUGUCCUGCCAGCAGCCUGGAUUGCUUUCCUGCCCUUAGCCCCUGUCUGCCCAGGGCUGGCCCUUGGCCACCAGCCCAGAGACAGCCUGGGGGGGAGGCCCGUGGGCAGCCGCCUAUGAAAGGAGGGGUAGCGCAUGAAACCCCAAAGCCUUUUCAGAGGUAUUUAGGUGCCUGAAGGUGCAAAGAGGCACUUAAUGUCAUUCAAAAGUUUCUAAGCAGAUUGGAGGGAGAGAGGGGGAAAAUUCCCGUUUAAGGGACUGAGGCUGAAGAGUCCCACCUGCCUUGAGGCCUUGGACGAGGUGGUGCCUUGGAGGUGCCCACCAGGCACCUCUCUUCAUGGCUAGGCACCUAAAUAUCUUAGAAAAUGUGCUCCAAAGUAAUUUCUCUGCUGUUGUGUGAUGCUCCUGCCUACCCAAGGUCAAGAGUGUCAUCUUGGCAGUGUUCCCUCUUGACGUGUGAAAACUGCUGCUCUACCACUAUGGUGUGAGAGAUGUAUGGAUCUCAGGGAAGACAAAUUGCUCCUCCAGCUGCAUGUCUCUGGCAGACAUUGAUUUGCAAUAAGGCUGUCAACGGCAGCGGGAGAGCGCUGAUCCUGAGAAACAAUAUGCCAAUUGCCUGCGUUGAUUUUAAUUCUUUGCUCCUUUGUGUGAGACCUGUUCUGCUGCAGUAUUCCUUGGAGAUGGGAUGUGCUGCUGCCUCUCCACUGACGCUCUUCUAGAGUACGAUGCCUGUCUGGCCCAGAAAAAAAUCAAGAAGACAGGCUGGCUUGCAUGAUUAUUUGAAAGCUGCGCAGACCUGUUGGCAGAGGAAGAAAAACCUAUUGAGGUGAAGGAAGCUCUCCGAGGUUUAUGACAGCAAGAAGGAGCUCUGAAUGUGGGGCCAGGACAGUACCAGACAGAAGGAGAGAAUCUGAGUCUCAGUGGCUCAUAUUACACGUGUCAGCUGCAAAGAGGAAAUAUUUGAAGACUGUUCGGUGGUAGGAGGGGAAAAACACGGCAAAACCUUUGAGUAGACGCCUCAGAGCCUGCAGGAUAAGGUGUCAUUGCACACCUGCAGCAUGCCGGGAUGCUAAAAUCCACCCUCAGCUCUGUCUGUUUCAGGAUGGAUGUGGGAUGGAUGACAAAGCCCUCAUGGAAGGAGCCUUUCUGGCCAGCACUUGUCACUACAGGACUCUUCCACCUUUAAUACGCAUGCGUUAACAUCUCCCGGCCUAUACAGGAAGGCAAAGGAGUAUCCUUUGCCAUCUGGAUGUGCUGGAGCAGAUAUUGGGGCCGCUGCACUGUGUGUGGCCAGUCCCAUGCCCUACUUUUAAGGAGUGCCAUGUGACAAAUCACAGUGCCUUGCUGUUUGCCGGGCACUGGGAAACUGCCUUGAACACAAGCCUGGGGAAAGUGGAAACAAAACUAUUUACAGAAUCCAGCUAUGAUUCAAAAUCGAUAGUAUUGUUGCAACAGCCAGCGUGGAAGAACAUCUCUGGGAGAACGUCUUCUGGGAGAAGUCUCUGUCGAUGGAGUUAGUCAGCGUCUUGCUGGCAAGGGUUUGCCCUCUCAACUAGAAGUUGCUAAAGGAAAAGUCCUGUGAACAGAGAGGUGCCCUUCACCAGCCUGAGAAUGUCCACUCGCGUCCUGGCUACUUGGAGAAGAAAAUCACAUGCAAAUGCACAGCAGAAUUGGUUCAGCGAUUGUUCCUUCCCUGACAAAAUGAUUUUUCGCCUACUGGAAGGGGAACUGUGUUGGAAAUCACAAAACAUGGAGUGCUUGCUCUGCAGAGCGCCAACUCACGGAAGUGCCUCAGAAGAGGUUCCCCAGCCAGCGAGGCCUGCUGAACCACACCAGCCCUCCAGUUACGCCAUCCUUUCUCCCAUCUGCGACACAGCUGGGCCUGACACACCAUUCCUAGUACUCCCUGGGUUUUGCUGCCUUGCAACAAAGCCACGAGCCACUAGUUCGGCUGGAUUGCUGUCACCUUUGGUCUGCCAGAGUGGUGUGAAGAAGAAAAGCAGGAGCCAGAGACGAAAUCCAUACUACUGUCAUUUGUGCUGGGCAUCUUACCAGUAUCAGGAAAGGACCUGAAACUUCUAGACCUCAGACUUUUUAUCUGAGCUUCGAGCUCAUCGACGUCUUAGAUUUGGGAGAAGACUGGAUGGUCGGUGUGUGAUACACAUCUGCUGCCUGCAGAGACUCUCAGGAGAACAGUUGUAGCAUAACUGUGUCAGCGCAGGGAUCAUGGUUUCUGCACAAGCUGCAAUGCCACAGCAUGCGAGGGACGGCUGCUGCGGCACAGGGGCCGAGCUCGGUGUGUUGUGUUGAGAGGUGCUACCUGACAACCGGUAGGGCCGCCUGUUUUCUCUGCAAGGCGGUGGGAGGGAUGAACUGGGACUGCCUUCUCCCAUUAACAGCCAAUGAUUGCACCCUUGCCCCUCUCCAUUACCUGAAUCUGAGAUUUUCGCAGCCCGUGGGCCCCUGUCUAAUUGUGUGGCCUGCCUAUUUGGGAGCUGCUCUAUUAAAACUUGCACAGAUGGUCUGGCACUGAGGCGUCAGUGGAAGCAGGGUUUGCUUUCAAGUAACUGUCAGCUGUGAUAGUGGUGCCAAACCCCUGCAGACAGUGCUGUGUAUCAGCACAGCCCCUGAUCCCAGUGAGAGGUCUGGUUCCGCUUUGCCCGCUCUCCAUUGCCAAACCCUGUGACAGGGGAGGGCGAUCAGAAAGCUGUGCUGCAUGGUGAUCGGUAAGGGAAAAAUUUUAAAUUGAUAGCCCAGCAAGUGUCCUGAAUGCUAUAUUCAAAAUGUGAUGCCUCAACAUAAAACGAGCGGAGUACACAGCAGAACAAGUGGCCAGAAAACUCUGGCUCUUAGAGGCAUGCAGAGGGCAGGUGCCAGAUAGCAGUGAUUGCCCAUUUCUCUAAACCGGCAGCGCUUACAGGCCUACUGACAGAAGUGGAUUCCCACUAUAAGUAAAUUCAAUAUGCAUGAAAGGACUCUUGUUCUUCUUCAGCAGAGAGCAUAAAGAAAGACUGUCAGACAAACUAAUCUCUCCCUGAUAGUUUUCUUUUUGACAUCUCUGAACUGUCAUUUCUCCUGGGCUUUGCCAGAAUGCUUGAUAUAUCUGUUGUUUCCCAAAACAGAAAGUUUUUGCUAGCUUGGGUGAUACAGAAAUUUUUGCCAGGAAGAAAGAGGCUGAGAUGCCUUCACCAGCCUUUUGUUGCUGUUGUGUAGGUGCUCCUUUGCUGAGCUCCGGAGCUCUGAUUAGAGGUGAAAGGGAGGCAUUUGUGGUGACCGAUAAGGUUACAUCUCUGAACGCAGCCAUCACAUUGUUCCCAGCGCUUGCCCUGGGUUGCAUGACAGUCACUGGGCUCCUGGAAUUAUGGCUUCUCUGGAGAGAAACCCAUUUAUGCCUUCACAUAUUUUGUUUCAAAAUUAGUGAUUGAAGAUGGACCUAGGCACCACUGUGUCACACAGGGGCAGUUAGAAAAUAGCCCAGACUGGAGAUUUACAUUUUUUGUUUGUCCCUCUACAGAGCUGGCAAAGCAUUCACUCCUCCUGAGAGUGUGCAAACAGCCAAGAAGAUUCCUAAGACUCUUCAGAGAAAAAAAAUUCUUCAUGUCCCUUCCCUAAACUGUGGAUGAAAAAUCCAGCAACUUAUUCCUUGAGUUGGGGACUUAUUGAAGGGUCUGCCAUAGGGAUGGUAAGGCUGUAUGUCCUACACCAGGUCCUGCAGAGGGAUUUAUCAAAAAUCAGAUUCUGAAGAGGGGCAAAGCCCAGGCGCUGCCAUGACCUGCCUGGCAGAAUGAGCCCUAAGUCCCAUUUUAAUGAACUCAACGGCUUUUUUCCUAACCAUGCUUCAACUACCCAGUCCCUAAAUUAUGCUGGAUAUUAGUACCACUGGAGAACUUAAGGUCACUACCUUAGGUGUUUAAUGUACCUCUUUCCAACAGACAAAAUGUUGUCUGGGGUAGCCGGUGAGUCUGUCCAGGUCUGCAAGAACUGAAGAGUGGUGCCCACCUUCUCUGGCUUGGGUGGUCUGCUCUCUGCAUAAGUAAAAGCACCACUGCUUGAAUUAGUUAACAUUUGUACUUUUUUUUUCAUGGUGCUGGGGCUGCCAACAGUAGGUAGAGUUUUGGGUUGUAAAGGAAUGCUGUUUUAUUUAUUGGAAGUGUUUAAUGACUGAUCACCAGAUGGAUUUCAGUCCGCACCCCUGCCGGAGUAUAUGGACCAGAAUGCUCUCUUCACCGUAGCGCCAGGACCACGGGGGAGAGGUGUACCUUUUCUGUGUGGGAUGAUGCAGAGUCUGUGGAGCACCUAGUAAGUAAACUUGCACCAUUUUAUAUUGAUGAAGAGUGUUCUUGCAUGCAGGAUUUUGCAAUUAACUGUCCCUGCAUUUUCUGACUUUGUGACUUUAAUAUACACGAUUUGAAAAAUUGAUGAGGAGAUUAGAAUGCAACUCUGAGCUGUUGGUCAUGUGUAGCCACACGGUAUUGCUCGAUGACAAUUUAAGGUGAUGUACUUGGUUAAAAGUAACUUGGAACACUAUUUAAAUACACAGGUGUUAAUCUGGACAUACUGAAGCUCAGUUUCUGAAUCUGGAGUUACAUAACUUGGGUGUGAUUAUUUUGUUUCAUUUCCAGAUUAGCUAGAAACAUUUAUCUAAACUGGGUGGCUGCUGAGAUUUUAAAUGCUAGAGCAGGAAACUUUGCAGUCAGGUUGUCAACAGAAUGAAUUGCUUGUCCUUUCAAGACUGAUUCUCUUCCAUACCAUCUCGCACCUCCCCAAGACCCACCACCAAAGCCUGCAAACACUAGAAUUUCUUUUCAUAUUUGAAUGGGUCCAUGGGACUCAUUUUCAGUACCUAAAAUUUUGCUAACUGUAAGACUGCUACAGGACUAAGGCCACACUACAUAUGCAUGUUCUGACUCUGCACUUCAAAAUUUUUUUCAUCAAGCACUAAUGUCUUGUGUGACAUUUGGGAUUUUGGUCUUACAAGUUGUUAGCUACGAAUUUCCUCUUAGUCUAGUAGGAAAUUCAGGUUUGCAUAACAGAUUGUCUUAUCACAUCUGCAAGGUAAUUGCUUUAAAUAGGCUUCCAAGAGGGCCUCAGAUCUGAUCUAUGAUGGUCUGUGCAUUUUUAAUAUAUGUACUCCAGGGAAGCAUGCCUCUGUUAGGAAUAUACUAUGUGGAUGACUGAUGGUGCAGAUCCAAAGUUAACUAGGCGUUCUCUUUAAAGACAACAUAUGAUAUGAUGUUUGGGCAAAGAGGAAUUUCCUGCAUAAUCUUUGGAGACAGCUGUAUUAUAUUUUAUGAUUCCUCUGGUAUUCAUGUGGAGUUAUAGAAAUACAGUUAAAAGGAUUAACUUUUUUCUGGUACAGUAUUCUGAUUGAUUGCAUGUCCAGUUACUCCUUUUCUAAUAAACAGGAUCUCGGCAAAAAGAAUGCCUGGACUGAAUGUACGACCUUCACUCCCUGCCCUCUCCACCUGUGAACCUAUAAUUUCCUUAGAUGCCUCCAUGAGGCAUCUACUGCUGGUUAAUCAGAGGUUUGACCUGCUGGCGAUGAUGAGCUCUAGCUUUGUAUCAAACAGAAGAGAGAGCGGCUGGCUGCAGCGUGUGGGUCUCCACCAGCAACGCCCUGUCUUUCGUCUCAGCUCUGCAGCCUGAACUCCUGUGUUAGAGCUUCUGCAUUUCAGGAAUGUGACUCCUGUCCUUGACCUAGGCUGCAGAUAAAUACAACGUGCCCCUUACCGCCGAGUGGCUUAGGAAGAAUUUCAGCCAGACGAGAGGGCUAAGAUAAAGGAAAGGCAGAAGAGCAGGUCUUUGACACAGUACAUAAAAUGACGAAUCAUUUCAUUUAUAAUCAUGAGAAGUGUUCUGGGAGUCAUGUGAGAGUUGUUUAUUCAGCUAUUGACCCUAAAAGGGACAGAAAAUGUCUGUCUCAGUUUGAGGAAAAUAAAAUCUUGGCCAAAGAUACGUCUUAGGAAUUAGCCCGGACGCUACAGGGUAUUCAGAAGAUAAAUCAGAGAGAAGCUUACAGCUGAACUCCUGCUAAUAUAUACAGAAUAAAGACAACUUUUCAA
This is a long non-coding RNA of Dromaius novaehollandiae (emu), 9872 nucleotides long. RefSeq lists it as uncharacterized. The transcript has 17 exons. Lineage: Eukaryota; Metazoa; Chordata; Aves; Casuariiformes; Dromaiidae. The record is from RefSeq and is a predicted model, not a curated record.